CCCCAGUAACGGCGAGUGAAGCGGCAACAGCUCAAAUUUGAAAUCUGGUCCUUGCGGGCCCGAGUUGUAAUUUGUAGAGGAUGCUUUUGGCGAGGCGCCGCCCGAGUUCCCUGGAACGGGACGCCACAGAGGGUGAGAGCCCCGUCUGGCUGGCCGCCGAGCCUCUGUAAAGCUCCUUCGACGAGUCGAGUAGUUUGGGAAUGCUGCUCAAAAUGGGAGGUAUAUGUCUUCUAAAGCUAAAUACCGGCCAGAGACCGAUAGCGCACAAGUAGAGUGAUCGAAAGAUGAAAAGCACUUUGAAAAGAGGGUUAAACAGUACGUGAAAUUGUUGAAAGGGAAGCGCUCGUGACCAGACUUGGGCUUGGCGGAUCAUCCGGGGUUCUUCCCCGGUGCACUUCGCCUCGCUCAGGCCAGCAUCAGCUCGCUGCGGGGGAUAAAGGCGUCGGGAAUGUGGCUCCUCCGGGAGUGUUAUAGCCCGUCGUGAAAUACCCUGGGGCGGGCUGAGGUUCGCGCAUUACGCAAGGAUGCUGGCGUAAUGGUCACCGGCGACCCGUCUUGAAACACGGACCAAGGAGUCGUCCUCGUAUGCGAGUGUUCGGGUGUCAAACCCCUACGCGAAAUGAAAGUGAACGCAGGUGAGAGCUUCGGCGCAUCAUCGACCGAUCCUGAUGUUCUCGGAUGGAUUUGAGUAAGAGCAUACGGGGCCGGACCCGAAAGAAGGUGAACUAUGCCUGUAUAGGGUGAAGCCAGAGGAAACUCUGGUGGAGGCUCGCAGCGGUUCUGACGUGCAAAUCGAUCGUCAAAUAUGGGCAUGGGGGCGAAAGACUAAUCGAACCUUCUAGUAGCUGGUUUCCGCCGAAGUUUCCCUCAGGAUAGCAGUGUUGAACUCAGUUUUAUGAGGUAAAGCGAAUGAUUAGGGACCCGGGGGCGCUAUUUAGCCUUCAUCCAUUCUCAAACUUUAAAUAUGUAAGAAGCCCUUGUUGCUUAGUUGAACGUGGGCAUUCGAAUGUAUCAACACUAGUGGGCCAUUUUUGGUAAGCAGAACUGGCGAUGCGGGAUGAACCGAACGCGGGGUUAAGGUGCCAGAGUAGACGCUCAUCAGACACCACAAAAGGUGUUAGUACAUCUUGACAGCAGGACGGUGGCCAUGGAAGUCGGAAUCCGCUAAGGACUGUGUAACAACUCACCUGCCGAAUGUACUAGCCCUGAAAAUGGAUGGCGCUCAAGCGUCUUA
Molecule: ribosomal RNA, 1234 nt
Filed under: Sporophagomyces chrysostomus
Lineage: Eukaryota; Fungi; Ascomycota; Sordariomycetes; Hypocreales; Hypocreaceae
Description: eukaryotic LSU rRNA
Rfam family: Eukaryotic large subunit ribosomal RNA
Source: RNAcentral